This 397-nucleotide ribosomal RNA is filed under the name bacterium enrichment culture. RNAcentral describes it as "bacterial SSU rRNA". It matches the Rfam family "Bacterial small subunit ribosomal RNA", at positions 521 to 916 of the family's 1533-position model. The record is from RNAcentral.
UAAUACGGAGGGUGCAAGCGUUGUUCGGAUUUAUUGGGCGUAAAGCGCGUGUAGGCGGUUUGUUAAGUCUGAUGUGAAAGCCCUGGGCUCAACCUGGGAAGUGCAUUGGAAACUGGCAGACUUGAAUACGGGAGAGGGUAGUGGAAUUCCUAGUGUAGGAGUGAAAUCCGUAGAUAUUAGGAGGAACACCGGUGGCGAAGGCGGCUACCUGGACCGAUAUUGACGCUGAGACGCGAAAGCGUGGGGAGCAAACAGGAUUAGAUACCCUGGUAGUCCACGCCGUAAACGAUGAGUACUAGGUGUUGCGGGUAUUGACCCCUGCAGUGCCGCAGCUAACGCAUUAAGUACUCCGCCUGGGAAGUACGGUCGCAAGACUAAAACUCAAAUGAAUUGACGG